UACGUAGGGGGCGAGCGUUGUCCGGAAUUACUGGGCGUAAAGGGUGCGUAGGUGGUAAAUUAAGUUGGAUGUGAAAUACCCGGGCUUAACUUGGGGGGUGCAUCCAAUACUGGUCUACUAGAGUGCAGGAGAGGGAAGCGGAAUUCCUAGUGUAGCGGUGAAAUGCGUAGAUAUUAGGAGAAACACCAGUGGCGAAGGCGGCUUUCUGGACUGUAACUGACACUGAGGCACGAAAGCGUGGGGAGCAAACAGG
This 253-nucleotide ribosomal RNA is filed under the name uncultured prokaryote. RNAcentral describes it as "partial 16S ribosomal RNA". It matches the Rfam family "Bacterial small subunit ribosomal RNA", at positions 524 to 776 of the family's 1533-position model. The record is from RNAcentral.